GGGCAUCUUCUAGGUGUUAGUCUCCAAAGCAUGAGUGAUCCAUCAGAUUCUUUGUAAACCUUUAUUAUCACUUCAUUUAUCAAUUACUUUCAUAAUUCUUUGGUUUCAUAAUUCUGUGGAAUUUGGAUGUUCUGUUUCCCAUAUACAUAAUCCUUGAUGCCAAAAGAUCAUGAAACUUGCUUUUUAAAUACAAUAGUAUUCUUUCAUCUUUUCUUUAGAUACAAAGACUUGCAUUGUUAUCUAACUGUUAAAGAGAAAUAAUUAUUUUGAAUUGAAAUUGUGUGAUUUAAUUAUGUGUGAUGACAAAGCUGUUGAAAUUGAGCUAUUUAAACUGCUUCUAGGGACUGUUAUUUGCAUUCUGAAUUGCAGGUAACUAAUAUGACAAGGGGACUUAUUGUUGAUGCAGACUGGACUUUAUCUAUUAUACAUACUCAUGUGUAGUUUAAUAUAUAUCCUCUGUCUUUGUGGAGCUUGGACUUUUUAUGCAUGGACUACAUAUUCCCACUGUUUUAUAACCGUGGCAAUAGAGGCCACAUAUUGCCACACUCUAUUGCCACGGUUACGCACAUGACCGUAGCAAUAUUUGGACUCUAUUGCCACGGUUACGACGUAACCGUGGCAAUUUCUGGCCUCUAUUGCCACGGUUACCAUUUACGACCUGUGGUAAUAGGCUAAUCAAUUGCCACGGUUCUCCCUUGAACCGUGGCAAUUGAGCAAUUGCCACGCAAGCUAUCGCCACGGUUAAACCGUGGCGAAAGGGCGUGCGGAACCGUGGCGAAAAGCCUUUUCUGUAGUAGUGAUUGUUGCAAAGGUGAACCGUUUGUGGCUAAGUCCGAGCUUAUAUGGAUCCAAGCUUCCAUUUUCCAUGGACAUGAUUCUUAUGGAUGACAAGAUUCAUGCUUCGGUUAGGAAGACUCUGAUAUACCGAUUCUAAUCUUUGCUAAGUGAAGGACGUGUAUAUCAGAUUUCGUUCUUUGGUGUUGGUGAAAGCGGUCGUGAUUUCCGACCAACCUCGCAUCCAUUCAAGAUCAACUUUGAUAUUCAUACAUAUGUGCGCUUGGUUCUCAACAAGGCCAUCAACUUAAGCCCGUACAUUUUUGUGUCAAUAUCUAAUAUAAUGUUCAAGUAUCUUGAUACGUCUUUUCUUAUAGAUGUCAUUGAAAUUCUCACUGGUGCAAGUGCUGAACAAGAGUUUGAAAAAGAUGGUGGGAAUCAGAAAAGAAUUACUAUUGAACUUGACCAAGAUGGGGCUCGGGUUUUAUGCGUCAUCUUGGAUCUGUUGAUGCAACUAAUGCUGUUGUUGUUGUGAGUUGUGUCAAAAUAAAGCCCUUUAAAGGUAAGACAAGUCUCCAAAAUGUUUAUGGAGCUACAAAGGUUCUUUUUAAUCCUCUCAUAGAAGAAACUGCCCCCCUCCAAACUCGGUUCUUGAAAUCACAUGAUAAUGCGGUGCAUGUCAUUAGUCCGCUGCAAGAUUCUGCAAAGAAAUCUACCCCUGAAGAUGAUUUUCUAAAGCAGAAUGAUGGGAAAACCAUCGAGCAACUCAAAGAUCUUGCACAGGUUUGGUGUUCCACGAGCGAUAGUUUUUGAAAAUGGAAUUCAAUUCACCAGCAAACAAACUCAGGAUUUUUGCGAUGGCAUGGGAAUUCAGAUGAGGUUCUCAUCAGUGAAGCAUCCUCAAACUAAUGGGCAGACAGAGGCUGCGAACAAGGUGAUUUUGAAGGGCAUAAAGAGGCGGCUAUAUGAAGCUGAAGGAAGAUGGAUUGAUGAACUCCCGAUAGUUUUGUGGUCAUAUAACACCAUGCCACAAUCAAGCAUAAAAGAAACACCUUUCUGAUUGACCUAUGGGGCAGAUACGAUGCUCCCUGUGGAAAUCAGUAAUUUCUCUUGGUGAACGAAAGCGCGACAUGAGGAGGAAAAUAGGAUGAACAUGGCGGUGGGGUGGGAAAAGCUCCCCGAAGGGGCGAUUUGAUAACGACAAAGUGUCAGGAAUUGCCUCGGAAAAGCCGGAUUUGAUUCGAUGAUUACAAAUGAUUUCACAUAUUUUCAACGUGAAUUCUUGAGGGGAGUGGCGAGGAGUACAGCUCGGCGGUUCAUCACACGGAGGAGGAGAUGCUGCAUUGGGGGCUCCCUCCUGACAUGGUGGCUGACCAGAAAUGGUUAGAGGAGUAUUCUUCUAGAUUAUUUUGAGAACACUGCAAUCAUGACUCACCUCAAAGUAGUUCGGUUGGGGCUUCGUUUUGUUUGUUUAUUUCCCGAAACAAGAUGGUCAGAACGAAGAAGAAGAGAAGGAAGGAAGAGAAUAUAGCUGAGGAUUGGUGCUUUGCUUGCAAGGAUGGAGGGCUCAUGAGGGUGUGCGAUUAUAGGACACGGUUGAGAAUUGAGAUGAAUGAGUAGUGAUCAAUUCCUAAAAUAUUACAUAGAUAUAAUUUGUCCUGUGAGUACUUUAUUUUUGAUACUUAAUUAACUGCACGUUGCUUAAAGGGAUUGUCUUAAAGCUUAUCAUCCUCAUUGCGUGGGAAAAGUUUAUUAGCUUACUUAGUUGUUUUUCUUUGCUGUUUUCUUUGCUAUUUUGUAAUUCCUGAAUUCAUUUGCUAUGAAGGCUCACUUGUUCCCAAGACAUUUGAUCUUUUAUAUAUAUUUCUCCCUCAAAAAAAAAAUUCUGGGAAUUAUGGUCAGAUGCCCCAG
This is a long non-coding RNA of Lotus japonicus, 2685 nucleotides long. RefSeq lists it as uncharacterized. The record is from RefSeq and is a predicted model, not a curated record. The transcript is spliced from 10 exons. Lineage: Eukaryota; Viridiplantae; Streptophyta; Magnoliopsida; Fabales; Fabaceae.